CCCCUAGAUGUUCUGGGCCGCACGCGUGCUACACUGAACAGUUCAACAAGUCUUAACCUUGGCCGAUAGGUCUGGGUAAUCUUUGAACGCUGUUCGUGAUUGGGAUAGACCUUUGCAAUUAUGGGUCUUCAACGAGGAAUUCCUAGUAAACGCAAGUCAUCAGCUUGCAUUGAUUACGUCCCUGCCCUUUGUACACACCGCCCGUCGCACCUACCGAUUGAAUGGUCCGGUGAAAUCUCGGGACGGCGGCUUGGUCGCUUGCGUCCGACUGCUGAAACUUGAUUAAACCAUAUCAUUUAGAGGAAGGUGAAGUCGUANCA
Molecule: ribosomal RNA, 320 nt
Filed under: uncultured eukaryote
Lineage: Eukaryota
Description: partial 18S ribosomal RNA
Rfam family: Eukaryotic small subunit ribosomal RNA
Source: RNAcentral